Molecule: long non-coding RNA, 1102 nt
Organism: Nicotiana attenuata
Lineage: Eukaryota; Viridiplantae; Streptophyta; Magnoliopsida; Solanales; Solanaceae
Exons: 4
Source: RefSeq, a predicted model, not a curated record
UACACCCCCCUCUUUCCCUCUUUUUCCGUAAAACCUCUUCGUCUCUUCUUUAGCACUGCAAUGGUUCGAAUUUAUUACCAUGUCGUUUCCAGAUCUUAUACAUCCCUGCAAACGACACUAUAGUUUCUCAAAUUGCAAAGAAUUCUCCAUGUAAAAAUACUCUCCAUAGAAACAAUAAAAAGGCGAUGAAGACUCCACAUUCCAAUUGUAAAAGAGAAAACUAAAUAGUGACAUAAGAACCAAGGGCAUUUUCCUUUUCAGGCACAUGAUGUCUAAGCAAGGGUUGAAUCCGUUGUUCCCAAUGGAGGAUAUUGCAGUAAUGGGCAUUUGAGAGUUGCUGACAUAUCUUAACUGAAGUAAAGCUCAAAUAAACUACAGAAGCUGUUCUCUCUUUCAAGCCUCGUGACUUUAAAAGAUUCUCCUUCCGUUUCUUAAAACAUUUGCAUGCUGAUGAUGUGCACCUUUUAUGAGUUUGAAAUAGAUUUUUACUUUUUCCUUGUGCAAGGGAAAAAUAAGGUAUAGAAACAAAGGGAAAUCCUUUUAAUUUGCUGCAAGAUUCGUUCAAUAAGAUGAUGGUUAGCUCUCUGCCUAGCAACAACAUUUGUUCGAGUUCUUUAAAGUGUCCACUAUUCACUUGUGUAAAAGCUGUAUGGCUUCCAUAUUUUGAUCAUCUUGACAAUUCAUAUCAGAAGGGUAUGAUAGUGAUAAGCGACAGAGACGCAAAAAACAUAGAAAGUUGUUCUUUUUGUCUAGGAAUGGAAAGAGUAGUAGAUGAGUAAGAGGACUAAGAGAGAUUUGGAAACUCCUUAAGAAUAUUCAAAUUUGAUAUAGAUGAUGAAGACUUCAGUAAGAACCGGAGAUACCUCAAAAUGAAAUGUUGAACUCUUCAGUGAUCACAUAAGAGACGCAAUGACUGUUACUCUUAUUUGCAGUAACCUACUUCCACUGUUCCAUUACUGAAAUAGUCUAAAGUUUUGAAAUUUAGAUUUAUUUCUAUUGUAAGACUCUACACAUCUAAGUUUUUGUUGGUUAUUGAGGGUGUUUCAUAAGCUUUGAAAUAGUUACAUAUUUUGAACUUUAGAUUCUUGAUGCUCCUUUCUUC